Molecule: ribosomal RNA, 544 nt
Filed under: uncultured Glomeromycotina
Lineage: Eukaryota; Fungi; Glomeromycota
Description: SSU rRNA
Rfam family: Eukaryotic small subunit ribosomal RNA
Source: RNAcentral
UUGGAGGGCAAGUCUGGUGCCAGCAGCCGCGGUAAUUCCAGCUCCAAUAGCGUAUAUUAAAGUUGUUGCAGUUAAAAAGCUCGUAGUUGAAUUUCGGGGUUCUACCGUUGGUCGGGCUUUGUCUGUACUGGUGUGUAGAAUUUCUACCUUCUGGGGAACCAUCAUGCUAUUAAUUUAGCGUGGUGGGAAACCAGGACCUUUACCUUGAAAAAAUUAGUGUGUUCAAAGCAGGCUUAUGUCUGAAUACAUUAGCGUGGAAUAAUAGAAUAGGACGGUGGUCCUGUUUUGUUGGUUUCUGAAUCACCGUAAUGAUUAAUAGGGAUAGUUGGGGGCAUUAGUAUUCAAUUGUCAGAGGUGAAAUUCUUGGAUUUAUUGAAGACUAACUUCUGCGAAAGCGUUUGCCAAGGAUGUUUUCAUUAAUCAAGAACGAAAGUUAGGGGAUCGAAGACGAUCAGAUACCGUCGUAGUCUUAACCAUAAACUAUGCCGACUAGGGAUCGGACGAUGUUAAUUUUUCUUGACUCGUUCGGCGCCUUACGGGAAAC